GCAGGAUGCCUCCCAGGACCAAGCUGGCACCAGUGCCAACUUGGGCUGGUUUGAGAGUGCCAAGUACCUCCUGCAAACUGACACCAUCAACUAGGGUUGGAUGCCUCCCAGGACCAAGCUGGCACCAGUGCCAACUUGGGCUGGUUUGAGAGUGCCAAGUACCUCCUGCAAACUGACACCAUCAACUAGGGUUGGAUGCCUCCCAGGACCAAGCUGGCACCAGUGCCAACUUGGGCUGGUUUGAGAGUGCCAAGUACCUCCUGCAAACUGACACCAUCAACUAGGGUUGGAUGCCUCCCAGGAACAAGCUGGCACCAGUGCCAACUCGGGCUGGUUUGAGAGUUCCAAGUACCUCCUGCAAACUGACACCAUGAACUAGGGUUG
Serinus canaria (Common canary) is the source of this 384-nucleotide long non-coding RNA. RefSeq lists it as uncharacterized. The record is from RefSeq and is a predicted model, not a curated record. Lineage: Eukaryota; Metazoa; Chordata; Aves; Passeriformes; Fringillidae. The transcript has 4 exons.